GAUGAACGCUAGCUACAGGCUUAAUACAUGCAAGUCGAGGGGAAACGACAUCGAAAGCUUGCUUUUGAUGGGCGUCGACCGGCGCACGGGUGAGUAACGCGUAUCCAACCUGCCCACCACUUGGGGAUAACCUUGCGAAAGUAAGACUAAUACCCAAUGAUAUCUCUAGAAGACAUCUGAAAGAGAUUAAAGAUUUAUCGGUGAUGGAUGGGGAUGCGUCUGAUUAGCUUGUUGGCGGGGUAACGGCCCACCAAGGCAACGAUCAGUAGGGGUUCUGAGAGGAAGGUCCCCCACAUUGGAACUGAGACACGGUCCAAACUCCUACGGGAGGCAGCAGUGAGGAAUAUUGGUCAAUGGACGAGAGUCUGAACCAGCCAAGUAGCGUGCAGGAAGACGGCCCUAUGGGUUGUAAACUGCUUUUAUAAGGGAAUAAAGUGAGUCUCGUGAGACUUUUUGCAUGUACCUUAUGAAUAAGGACCGGCUAAUUCCGUG
Molecule: ribosomal RNA, 492 nt
Filed under: uncultured bacterium
Lineage: Bacteria
Description: partial 16S ribosomal RNA
Rfam family: Bacterial small subunit ribosomal RNA
Source: RNAcentral